Molecule: RNA transcript, 1679 nt
Organism: Momordica charantia (bitter melon)
Lineage: Eukaryota; Viridiplantae; Streptophyta; Magnoliopsida; Cucurbitales; Cucurbitaceae
Source: RefSeq, a predicted model, not a curated record
GUGGCCCGUACAUUCUUCUCCACCAACAACAAGUAAUGACAAAAUUGCAUUACAAAAAUGGUUGCAGUCCGCUUCUGAGAUCCGAUUGGUCAAAUAAAUAUUACCAGAAUCUGGCUUUUCUUCUCGACGCGUCUUUUCCAUUGAUCAAUGGAAGCAACAGCUUUCUGAAGAAUAAAAUUCCAUUUUCUGAUGGAAGAGCCGGGGAUGAUUCCAUCUUUACCCUCCAACUAUGUCACUAUUCUUGAUCUUCGAGAACGGUGGCUCAAAGAAAAUGAGCGAAACCAGAAAGAAAAGGAAGAAGAAGAACAGAGUCCGCCGGAACAGGCGCAAGAACAGAAGGUUGAACGGAGUAAACCUGAGGAGAAGCAUGAUCGGAAGUUGGAUGAUGGUGAGGCAGUGAUUCAAAAGCCUCGACUCCGUACUACUUCUUGGAGCAACAAAAGGAGCGGGCAAUUUCGGAUGGUUUAUCGAGUUGUGCCGGCGAGUAAUCCGCGGAAUGUGAACGAGAGGUGCAAGAAGACUGAAACUGAAGGUGUAACUGAACCUCGAAUCCGGAGGGAUGAGAAGGAAAAGAAGGCUAAGAGGAAGGGUCACAAGAAGAACCCUAAAGCAAAGAAUGAGAAGGUGGAUAGAACAUCACGAACACCUGAGGAGAACUCGAAGGAGGAAAUGCGAGAAACGGAAUGCGAGCUUGGGGUGCAGAACGGGAAGGAUAUUGUGAACGAGAGGUGCAAGAAGACUGAAGCUGAAGGUAAAACUGAAUCUCUGUUGGCUAAACCUCGAAAUGCGGAGAAUAAGAAAUCUAGGAGGAAGGGUCGCAAAGAGAACCCUAGAGCAAAGAAUGAAGAGAUCGAUAGAACGUUACGAACACCUGAGGAGAGCUUGAAGGAGGAAAUGCCAGAAACGAAAUGCGAGCUUGCGGUGCAGAACGGGAAGAAAAAUGUUAGGGCAGAAAGAAUGGAUGAAAAGAAGGGGAUUGGGGGUCAAUGUGAACCUGAAGAAAUUGAUAAUAUGCAUGAGAUGAAGGAGAUGGAAACCAAAUUAAGUAGUAUUUCGGUGAUCUUUGAAAUUAAAAGGAGGAGGAAUAAUAGUGUUUACAGAGGCAGUAGUCAAGGUAAGCAGAACUUCAGACAUCAUCAGAAUCUUCAUCGUUGGGGUCCCCAUAAACAGAGGAAUGUUGGAAUGAUUUGGGUGAGGAAAGACGAGCUUUCAGAAUGUGCUACCUGUUGAUGAAUCUGGGGUUGUCCUAAAUCACAAGAAGAUAGUUAAUCUGUUUAAAAAAUGUGGGGUGGGGAUCAACCAUUCAACAUUCAGAGAAUCAAUUGAGUUAUGCUCAUGUUGGAAGUUUUAGAAAGUGAGAUAGAGAUCGAUGACUGCUGUGAACAAAAAGAUUGAAUAAUAGACGAUACUUUGUAUAUAGUGGGGCUGCAGGUUAACUGUAGAUGAGAUGGUGAAUUGGUGAUAUCUAGAUGAGAGAUCCAGUACUUCAGUAGAUAUAGUACAGAAGAACUUGAAAAAUCUGAUCAAAAGAACACACUCAUACUCAUACUUUGGUAUAUAAUUGUGUUGAUAUUUGAACCAUUUGGUUUGAGAGAGAUAUGAUUAGAACUCGGAAGUCUUCGGAAUUUGAUGGAGUUCUAUAGUAAGCAUAUUAUGGCCCAUUUUAUGCCAUUUCUUAU